Molecule: long non-coding RNA, 29962 nt
Filed under: Gossypium raimondii (Peruvian cotton)
Lineage: Eukaryota; Viridiplantae; Streptophyta; Magnoliopsida; Malvales; Malvaceae
Description: long non-coding RNA (GRAI_LNC008225)
Source: RNAcentral
UUAAAAUCCAAUAAAACCCAUUUCAAACCCUAAAAAUUAUUCUAUUUCAAAUGCAGCCACAGCAACCAGUCCAUUCCCCGCUCCUCACGCCGAGAACCAGCAAGAAUCCCGACGGCGUGCCUCUACUGGUAAGAAACUUCUCUUUUUCCCUCGUUAUUUCGUUUAUUUGUUUUAAAAAACAAGGAAGAAAAUAAAAAAGGAACAAAACAGUAAAGAGAAAGGAAAAACGGAACCCACUCAAUACCUUCAAAAUUGUUUUUUUUUAUUCUCUGUUUUUCUGUUUUCUUCAAUACUUUUCAACACAUCCUCCCCCCACUUUUACAAAAUCGAUUGGCUUUUAUAGCCACUCUUUACAGAAGCAAAACACUCAACCCCCCCCCCCCUUUUUCUCUCUUCUAUAAUACUGUUCUUGGUUCAUUUGUAGGAUGAACAUGCAUGGUGGAUGCGAGGAAUCGCUGAACGUGGGGUGAUGGGGCCGUUGCUGCAAAUGGAGAACGUGCGAGCGGCGCGAUCUGCGGUUUCUACUUCCAUUGCUACUGAAAACAUGUUGUGGGCUAGGGUUAAUUUUGGGCCAAUUGGGCCAAAUGUAUUUGGGAUGUUGGUUUUUAGCCAGGCCAAAAUUGGCCUAUUACAAACAUAAUUUUAUAUUCAAGAUUGAACAGAAACAUUAUUAAUAGGGAUAAAUGUCAAAACUACAUAUGAACUUUGGUUUUAUGUGUAAUUUUAUACCACAACUUUGAUUUUGUGCAAACAUGAAAUUUUGAUUUGAUCAAAUUCUCACAAACUAUUAACACAAUUACUGAUAUAACAUAAUUUUGUGUUUAUUGCAAUAAUUAUAUUUAUCCAAUAUAAAAAUAAAUUGAUGUAUUUAUUUAUUUAUUUAAAUGUGUAUAAUUGAAUCAAUGUUAAAGUUUUAUGUAUACAUUUGAGCCAUAACCAAAGUUUCAUGUGUUCAAUUGAACCAACUUAAAGUUUAUAUAUAAUUUUGAGAUUUAUCUCUUAUUAAUAAAAUAAAUAUAUUAUAUUAUUGAUUUUGUAGAUUUAAAAAAUUACGAGAAACAUAGAUAAGACAAAGUAUUAAUUCUUUAUUAAUCGAAUUUUUUAUCUUAAUUUUUCAAAUAAAUAUGAGUUAUACUAUUUGUCGAGUUGAGAUUUCUGUUGAACCAAACGAUUUGAUUAGACCCAAUUAACAUUCAUAAAAAAAUUAAUAUUUAAUUUAAUUAUAAAAUAUAUUUAAUUUCUUUUGCCUCUUGACAUAAAAAUUAAGAAUAAAUAAACAAAAUUAUAGAUUAUAGAUUAGAUUACCAAUAUAUUAAUAUUAUUAUUUAUAUAUAUAAUAUUAAUCUCACACAUUUAAUUUUUAUUAAUUAUAAAAAUAAUUUUAACAUUAUUAAUUAUUAUCAUACUUAAAAUAAAAUCAUAUUUAUAUAUAAAUUUUAUAUUUAUUUAAUAAAAAAUUUGGGUUUUUUUUAUUUUUUAAUUUAUCCGAUUAUAUUAAAUGAUUGCAUAGAUUUAUAAUUUUAUAAAUUGAUAAUAUAUUAUAUUAUUUUUUAACUAGAGCUUUUAAAAUAUAUGAUCAAAUUAAUUAAUUUUACAUUAAUAUACUAUCAUUUUAAAUAAUAUUAUUUUUAUUAUUGUCCCAUAAUAAUAUUAAUAAAUUAUAAUUCUAAUGUCAAUUUAGUAGUAUAAUUAACAAUAAAAGGUAUUCUUAUCAGUUCAAAUAUUUUUCUAAAUAAUAUAUAAAUAAUUUAUUUAUAUAUAAAAACAAGUCGGCUAACCAAAUUAAAUGAUCAAAAAAUCGACAUUAAGUCAAUCCAAUUUGUUGAUCAGUUGGUGCAAUUAGUAUUAAAAGUUGUUGGUUAAAUCGGUUAAAUUUAAAAAAAAAUUUGAACGAACAAGAAAAUCAAAUACUCACCCCUAAUAACAAUAGUCUUGAUGUUUAUUAAAAAUAUUAAAAAAAACAAUUCGAUUCGGGCUUGAAAUUUCUUCCUAAUUAACUUGAAAUUAAAUAAUUUAAUCAUAAAAAUAAAAAAAUUUAACCAAACAUGAACUAAUUUAAACAUCAACCUUUUGAAAAUUUUAAAAUUGGAGUUGAUGUGAGAAAAAAUCAACCGAGAUACUGCAUUGAUAGGUAUACAUUAAAGCAAGUUGGAAACAAUUUGUAGAAGCAUUGGGCUUUCCACACCUCCAUGAGCCUUUAAACUAUUGGGCUUAACUUUCUCUCGUUCAACGAAGAUGUGGGGCCUUAAUUACGGUUCUCUUCAUCCUUCAUAUAAAACUGUAAUUAAUCAAUCAUGGAAUCUCAUCCACUUUUUGAGUACUUGGCCCAUUCAUUUAUUUUAUUAACUUAAUCCCUUAAUUAUUUUUUUAUUAAACAUAAUUCAAUAAAAUCAAAUUUUAAUAGAAUUUACAUUUACCGCUAAAAGGAUUUAUAAAGUUAAUAUUUUUAAAAUUUUUAUGAUUUUGUAACUGAAAUAAAAAAAAAAACAUUUUCUAUGUCAUUUUUUAGAUGAUUAAUUUGACCCUAAUGUUUAUUUCUUUUGCUACUCUACCCCUCAUUCUUUUUUUUUAUUACUUUGGCUCAACCUUUAGAAUUUAGUCAAAUUACUUUUCUUUGAGUAGAAAAUUGAGUGAACUGUUAAGAUUUUCAUGGCAAUUAUAUGAUAGCUCGUAUGGCAUUCUGUCUGCACUUUAUAAAUUAAAAAAUACAUAAAAAUUAAUAAAAAUUUUCAUGAAAGUUCAUAAAAAAAAUUAUCAAUGUCAACAAUUAAGUACAUGUGGACUACACGCGGGUUGCCAUAUCAAUUCCAUUAAAAUUUUAACUGUUCAAUCAGGUUUUUUCUCCAAUAAAAGCAAAUUAACUAAAAGUUAAAAGUUGAAGGCUAAAGUAAACCCAAAAAUAGAGCAAAAGUGAAAAAAAGUAUAGACUAAGGGCUAAACUUGUCAUUAUGCCUACUUAAGAUUUAACUUUAUUUGAUCUUUAAUUUUGGUAAUAAAGCAGAGAUGGAAACAUAGAACUAAAGUUUACAAUGUCUUAUAAUGACUCUCCAUUAUCUAUCCUUUUGUAUUUUAGCCUAAAGCUCUAUAGGCGAUUGAUGAAGAAUAUGUAAACUCAAGUCUUGUUCCAUGACCAAAUUAAAAGGUUUCCUUUGUCAGUUAGAAGCUUGCAUCCAUAGUCCGAACAUGGCCUCCUCCCCCGAGUUUCCUGAGUUCCCGUCAUUUAACUUAUUCACUUUUCGGCCCCUUGUGUUGAUGCUGCUUAAAUCCCUUUAUUUGUGCAUAUUUCCUUAGUAUGGCCAUAACAACCACAUUUAUAACAAAUGGUGGGUAAUCCUUCGUACUCAAUAAUUUGCGGCCUGCCAUCGAUUCCUACAUAUGGAAUGAGAGGCUUAUUGCGAUCCACAACGAUGACAACAUAAGCAAACUUACCUCGAUUCCCUAUAUUAAUAUUGUAAUCAAUACAAAUAAUCAUUCCAAUGACCGCCGCAAUCGAUUGAAUAACUUCUUUUGUAUAGUACUGAUACGAUAGCCUCUGCAACCUAAUCUAAGCAACAAUCUUGGAUGGUGCAUUCCCAGUAGUUGAAAAAUCUCUACUCUUAGGCUGGAUGAUCAAAUAGUGCUCGUAGAUCAUCCAAGGACCUUCAGAAAGAGAUUUGGUAUAGUCCUUCACACAAUUGAACUUAACACCAUAGUAGUUGUUAUCCAGGUCCACCACUUGAAGGGAUCAUUCUGGUUGCCAUAAUGGAGUUAAACAAUUCACUGAAUCCUUAUAUCCAAUCGCCUUACCCAAAAGACAAACUAUGACAACAUUGGUCAUAGUUUUAUCAAUGAUGUCGUGUACUCAAUUUGAGAAAUAGAUCUCCAUAUAGGGUUCAUCUGUAUCCAUAAGCACAUUCUCAGUAGAAAGAAUUAACUCUUCCUCCAUCACCCUUUCAUCAGAGGAAUUGUUAUAAACCCAUGAACCAUUUAUUACAGUGUCGUAGAACGAAGCCUUAGAAACAACAAGACUUAACGUGCCAGUACUCUCCUCACUAAGGGUUCUAUCAUCUCUAUUUUUGACUUUUUUCGUCAUUCGUUCCUCCUCUAGUGUUCCCGGAUCACCAUGGUGUUCAUUAGUUGACUUUAGCAUCAGCAAGAUAAAAUCAAUUAAGCUCUUUCAUCGUUAAAGUUUAUAGUCAACCAUUACAACGUAUCCAUAACUAUUUUUUUGGUGUUUUCACAUGGCACGUCGAGAUUAUGCCAUGUGACAAAAACUGGUGUUUUAUAUUUAAAAUAUAUCAUAAAAAUUAUAAAAAAAUUAUUAAAAAAUUGUAUAAAAUCAUAAAAUUAUAAUAGUUUUUUUUAAAAUACUAAAAAAUUAUAAUAAAAAAUCAAGUGCAAAAAUAUAAUAAUAUAGAAAAUUAUAAAAAAAUUAUUAUAAAUGAAUUUUUUUUAAAAUGUAGAAAACAUUAAAAAUUAUUUAAAAUAAAAAAAUUGUAAAAAGUGAAUUUUUUAAAGUAUAGAAAAGCGUAAAAAAUUAUAAAAAUAUAGAAAAUUACAAAAAAAUAUUAUUACAAUUAUUCAAAAAUAAUAUAGAAUUAUAAAAAGAAUAAAAUUAUAUAAAAUAUAACAAUAUAAAAAAUGUUUACAAUUUUAUAUAUAUCCUCGAUUGUCACUUGCCUUCUCAACCCAUUUUGCCACCUUAGUUUACAUCUCAAAAACACUCUCCUGUCAACGAUGAUGGAUAAAAAGAGUGCAAGCUUUGGGGAGAUCUACGGUGGAUGAGCACAACAAAUAGCUUUAUGGAUCAAAUAAAUAUUUUAUAAAAUUUAGUAGUUAUCGUAGUGUUAACGAUGAUUAGUGUGCAAAUGAAAAGUAAUAUGUUUUUCGACAUAAUGACUUAUUUAGCCCUCCAAAUUUAAAAAAAAAAAUCACUUUAGCCUUCCAUUUAAUUUUUUUUACUUCUUUUAGCCCUUAAAAUUACAUUCUUUAUUAAAUCACCCCAAAAUGGAUUGAAAAUUUAACAUUUGUUAACCUUGCUAACGUGGCAUACACGUGGAUUGUCACGUUAGCAAUUAAUUAUUUUUUAAAUAUAAACAUUCAAAAUAUUAUAAAAAUUAUAAAAAUAUUUUUUAUUUUUUUAAAAUUAAUUAAUUACUAACAUGGCUUACACGUGGACUUCCACAUGGAUGCUACGUCAGCAAAGUUAAUAGAUGUUAAAGUUUCCAGCAAGUUCAAGAGAUAAAAGAUGAGAAAAAUUAAAUUAGAGGGAUCAAAGGACUUUUUUGUAAAGUUGGAGAGCCAAAUUAGUCAAUAUGUGUAACACCCCUAACCCAUAUCUGUCGUCAGAACAGGGUUACUGAGCAUUACCGGAAUUUACAGAUCAAAUAUAGUUAUUUCAUAUCAUUUAACAUUCAUAUAAGAAGUCAAUCAUAUUCUAUCAUAUUGUCCCUUAUAUGAGCCCUCUAGGCCCAAAAUAUGCAUUAAAAACAAGUUGAGACUAAACCAGUUGCAUAGAGAAUUUUUCGUAAAAUUUUAAAAUUUUUCCUAGAUGUAGGGGAGACACGCCCGUGUGGCCAGGCCGUGUGGGCAUUCGAACAAGGGCACAUGGUCGUGUCCUAGCCCGUGUCUAUGCCUGUGUAACUCUCUGAUUUGGGUCACACAGCCAAGCCACACGCCCAUGUGAGCAAUUUAAUUUGCAUUAAUUAGGUGUAAGGGUUACAUGGCCAAGCCACACUCCUGUCUGGAUAAUUUUGAGCAUUCUGUUUCACAAUUUUUAAGAUGCAGGGGACACACGGCUAGACCACAUGCCCAUAUGCUAGGUCGUGUGUCACACAUGGCUGAGACACACACCCGUGUCUCUGCCCUUGUGGAUGAAAAUAGGCUAUUUUCAAGGCCACUUCUCUCACCCAAUUUGUCUUCCACCUACAUCAGCACCUUAACACAUUCACAAGGCAAUACCAAUCAUUCCAAAUCAAGCUAAUACCAAGUAUAGUAUAUGUUAUAACAUCCCAUAUGUCUAAGUAUUCAAUUUCCCUUAAAUAACCCAAUUCACAUACAUCCAUAUCUUACCAAUUAUACUAACUCAAAUCAAUUAAUUAUGAACCUAUACAAUUCUCCAUCAUUUAACCAAUUCAAAGAUUCAUCAACCACAUUAAGUCCAUAUAUAAACAUAUCAAAAUAUGACAUUCACAAGCCAUUUCAAUAGCUAAUUACAAACAAACAUUUACAUUGCCAUCAUUGGUCAUAUUUAGCCUAUACAUGCCAUUAUAACCAAAAUUAGUUUGCUAUAUAUAUAAUACCGAAGAGUCCGAGGGAUAGUGUAAUGUAGCUCUGACCAGCUUCUAACCUUUACGAGCCUCCGAAUACUAUAAAACAGGGGAAAUAAAAUAGAGUAAGCAUUUAAUGCUUAGUAAGUUUGUAUAACGGGAAAUUAACUUACCAUUCAUUUUCAUUAAAAUAAACAAACAAAAUGCAUCCAAGCAAUUUGGCUAAUAGCCUAAACACACAACUUCAUCAAACAUGUUAGUCAUUUAUUUCACAUGAAUUUCAAGAACCAUGUAUGAGCUCAUCAAAUAUCAAAUUUCCAUGUAUUUCGUGUAUAUGCAAGUAACGAUUUACUUUGAAUUCAUUUAUUUUUCUCACAUCAGGAUUUUACCUAUCGAAUCAUUUAAAAUAUCGAUGGAUACCAGGGUAAUACACACGAAGUGUAAAAAAUCUAUACUCUGUCAAUUCAUAUUCGGGAAUGCUCAUAUGAGCACAUAAACGGGAAGCUCUUUCAAGCCAUAUAAUAGGAAGCUCAUGUAAGCCAUGUAACGAGAAGCUCCGGAGAGCCAUUAUCAAAAAUCUCAUAUGAGCUAAUGUCGGGAAGGUUCAAGCGAGCCAAUAUCGAGAAGCUCUGGGGAGCCAUUAACGGAAAGCUAACAAAGAGCAUUUAAUCGGGAAGCUCAUGAAGAGCCAUAUAUCAGAAUGCUCAUAAGAGCUACGAUGUGUCCACAACACAUGUAGGAUCACAACCAAAUCGAGAUACUCUGAAGAGCUAUUAACGGGAAGCUCGUAAGAACCAAAUAACGGGAAACUCAUGAGAGCUAAUAACGGGACGGUCUUUUGAGUCGUGGUGUGUCUACAACACAUGCAAUACCACAACCAAUCGGGAACCCUGUAUCCAUCGAAUUUCAUUUAUUCAAAUGGGACUUAAUACUUGUCGGAUAUAUUUGGAUGUGUGUUUAAUUUUCAUACAUGUAAAUUAUACAAUUUAAUUCACAUACACAACAUUCAAUUAAAAAAUAUAAAUAUACAAUUUAGUUACAUGAACUUACCUCGACAAUGUUCGUGCACACAAAAGUUACUAAUCCGCUACUUUCUCUUUUCCUCGGUUUAACUCUGUAUUUACUGAAAACGGGUUGUCACAACUCUCCCACUUAAAGAAUUUUCUUCCUCGAAAAUCUUACCAGUAAAGAGGUUUGGAUAAUGCUUCCUCAUUGUUUCCUCUGGUUCCCAGGUAGCUUAUUCUAAUUUGUGUCGUUGCUAAAGAACUUUUACUAAAGCUACCUUUUUAUUUCUUAACUCUUUCGUUUCACAUGCCAAAAUUUUGAUUGGUUCUUCACUGUAAGUCAUAUCAGGCUAAAUUUCAAUAUAUGUCAGAGAAAUAACAUGUGAAGGGUCUGACCGAUACUGUCGUAACAUAGACACGUGAAAAGCAUUGUGAAUCUUUUCUAGUUCUGGUGAUAAAGCCAUCCAAUAUGCAACAGGUCCUAUUCUUUCAGUGAUUUCAUAUGGCCUGAUAAAUCAUGGACCCAGUUUUCUUUUCCGCAUAAGAUUUCUGACGAUCAGAAGCUGCUUUCAAGCUGUCUCAAAUCACCUUCACUUUUUUUUCGGUUUCAUGGAUAAGAUUAACUCCAUGUAUCUUUUUCUUACUGAGCUCAGUCCAAUACAACGGAGUUCUACAUUUACGACUGUACAGAGCCUCGUACAGUGCCAUUUUAAUACUUGACUGAUAGCCAUUAUGAGCUUCGUGCAAAAUCUUCUGUACAAGCUCUGAAUUUCUCGGUACACAUACUCUGCCUCUGUACAACAGACAAUCAUUGGGUCCAAAAUGCUAACUCAAAUGUUGACUCACAUUGUACCCGUUUAGCUUGUAACUCCUCAUCAUUUUUUUGAGCUUCACAAAUUUGCUGUAGAAAUGUCAGUUUAGCUUUUAGCUCAACUAUGAUUGAACCAUCAUCAGACAAUGACAACCAGGUAUUCAUUGCUCACAAAACAAAUAGAGACUUUCUGCUUAGAGCAUCUGCAACUACAUUGGCUUUUCUCGGAUGAUAAUCGAUAACCAAAUCAUAAUCUUUCAACAAUUCAAGCCACCUGUGUUGUCUCAGAUUCAAAUAUUUUUGUGACAUCAGAUACUUUAAACUUUUAUGACCAGUGAAUAUAUGUCACUUAUCACCAAACAGAUAGUGUCACCAAAUUUUCAGCGAAAAUACAGUGGUUGUCAAUUCUAAAUCAUGUAUCGAGUAAUUCUUUUCAUGUGGUUUUAGCUGUCUAGAAGCAUAGGCUAUUGCUUUACCUUCUUGCAUUACAACAUAGCCUAAACCAUUCAAUGAUGCAUUACUGUAAAUUACAAAUUCCUUACUCGAAUCAGGCUGAACUAGAAUUGUUGCUUCAGUCAACAAAGUUUUCAAUCUGUCAAAACUCUGCUGACACUUAUCGGUCUAUUGAAAUUUCACAUCUUUCUACAACAACCGUGUCAUCAGAGAAGCUAUCAUCAAAAACCCUUUUACAAAUCUCCUAUAGUAACCAGCUAAUCCCAAAAAACUUCUAACUUCAGACACAUUUUUCGGUGGUUUCCAGUUAACAAUUGCUGAAAUUUUAUUCGGAUCCAUUCUAAUACCUUCAACAGAUACUAUAUGUCCAAGAAAACUAACUUCUCGAAGCCAAAAUUCACAUUUACUAAAUUUAGCAUACAAUUGUUUCUCACGCUAAGUUUGUAAAACAAUUCUCAAAUGAUCAUUAUAUUUUUUUUUCAUCCUGAGAAUAUACCAGAAUAUCAUCAAUAAAUACAACAACAAAUCUAUCUAGAUACGGUCUGAAGAUUCUAUUCAUUAAUUCCAUAAAUACUGUAAGUGCAUUUGUCAAGCCAAACGACAUCACAAGAAAUUCAUAGUGCCCGUACCUGGUUCUGAAGGCUAUUUUUGGCACAUCCGAGUCUUUCACUCGUAACUUAUAGUAGCUAGAACUGAGAUCUAUUUUCAAAAAUACUGUAGCACCUUUCAACUGGUCAAACAAGUCAUCAAUACGAGGCAGUAGAUACUUAUUCUUAAUUGUGACUUUGUUGAGUUACUGAUAAUUAAUACAUAAUCUCAAAUAUCCAUAUUUCUUCUUAACAAACAGAAUCGGCACACCCUAAGGUGAAGAACUAGGUCGAGCAAAACCUCUGUCAGUCAAUUCUUGCAACUGUGCUUUCAAAUCUUUUAAUUCUAUAUGGUGCUAUAGAUAUUGAUGUUGUGCCCGGAACAAGAUCUAUAGAAAAUUCAACCUCUCUGACCGACGGUAAUCUAGGUAAUUCAUCCGGAAACACAUCAGGAUACUCACAAAUAAUUGGCACUGACUUAAUCUUUGACUCCGAUACUUUAGUGUCUAACACAUAAGCAAGGUAAGCAUCAUACCAUUUUUCGACAUAUUUCUGUGUUGACAUGGCUGAUAUUACAUUAGACAACCCAUCCAUUUUAUCUGAUUCAAUAUAGAGUAUUUCACCAUUCUGGUAUUUUAAUAGAAUAUGAUUUUGUUUACAAUUUACCACGGCAUCAUGUUGCGUUAACCAGUCCAUACCCAGAAUCACAUCGAAUUCAUCAAAUGGCAAUAACAUCAAAUUAGUCGAAAAACAGUAACCCCGUACCAUUAGCGGACAAUUCUUGCAAAUUUUAUCCACCAUCACAUACUGGCCUAGGGAGUUUGAUGCUUUAACCAUAAAUUCAAUGGACUCAACAAAUAAAUUUUUAUUAGACACUAAAUUCGUGAAUAUGUAUGAAUGAGUUAAUCCGAGAUCAAUUAAAGUAGUUAUAUCAGUAUGAAGAAGAGAAAAACACCAGCAAUAACAUUAGGUGCAAAGGCAUCCUCACGUGCACGAAUAGCAUAUGUCCUUGCCAGUGCUUGUACUUUAGAUUUGACGGUUGAAUCAUUUGUCGUACCUCGACUACCACUCACAUUACCAAGGUUACGAGGUGGUUUACCUCUCGUAGCAGGGUUGCUCGACCUUAAAGUUUGAAUAGUAUCUUUUUCAGGCUUUUCUGGGUAGUUCCUGAGAUAGCGGUCAAAUGAACCACAUCUAAAACAUGCUCCACUUCUCAUGCAACACUUACCAAAAUGCAGUUUAUUACAAUGUUUGCAUCUGGGUUUGGGACUUCCAACACUGCCUGCACUUGUUACAGAUGUAGCCUGAGAUCUCGGAUUGGAACUUUGAAUACCUCAGUCUCUCCCAGAGUACCCAGUAGAUGUGAUAAAAAGAUCAUGAUAUUUCUUCGAUUUCUUUGAAGCUGACUAUUGUGACUUUCCCGAAAAUCUUUUACUUGAAGUUCGGGAUUUCAUCUAUGCCUAUCUCUUUUCUCUACUUAGUUUUUUAGCUGUAUGAACUCGGUCGACCUGUACCACAAAUUCUUUUAAUUCUAGAAUCCUAACCAACAACUUGACGUCUUCAUUUAAACCCUCUUCAAACCGCUUACACAUGGCAAUUUUAGUCGGGAUACACUCUCUAGCAUAUUUACUCAGUCUGACAAAUUCUCAUUCGUACUUAGAUAUUGUCAUAUUCCCCUGUUUAAGCUCUAAAAAUUCCUUCCGUUUUUGAUCCAGGAAUCUCUGACUGAUACAUUUCUUUUUGAACUCCGUUUGGAAAAAUUCUCAUGUAACCCUCUCUUUUGAUAUAACAAAAAUUAGUGUAUUAUACCAUUGAUAAGCCGAAUCUGUUAACAGGGAUACAACAUAUUUCAGACAUUCGGUUGGUGUGUAAGAUAAUUCAUCUAGAACCCUGAUAGUGUUUUCUAGUUAGAAUUCAACCCUUUUUGGAUCGUCUUCAGCGGUAGCUCUAAAUUCUUUUGCCCUAUAUUUACGAAUUUUAUCUACCUGAGGCUUAGCAAUUCUAACAAAUUCUGUACCUUGCGGCAUAUCAGGAACCGGUUGAGAGAUAGGAUGGGAAGGUUGUUGUACAGCCGGAUUUGUCCUUAGAAAUUCUGUAAACCAUUCAUUCAUCAUUUGAAAGAAGACUUUUUUAGCCUUUUCUCCUUGGUCUUCAGGUACGGGCCUUCUACUACUUGAAGCUGCUUUUUGAACUAAAGCUUGAGCAUUGCUCUUAGCUUCUUCAGAUUCACCUCGGUUGGACGACAUUACUAUAUGAAAAACAUGUUUAAAAUGGUCAGGAUGUAACAACCCAAUUUUGACCCUAAUUGGAAAAAGUGGUUUCAGGGCCACAAAUCUGAGUCAGAAAAAUAUUUUAAUAUUAUUUUUAGUAUUUGCAGUAUGUGAAUUAAUAUGUGUGAAAAUUUCGUAUGAAAAUUUGAUCGUUUGAGUGCUUAAUUUGAUAAAAUGACUUAAUAGCGUAAAAUAAAAAUUUAGGGGUCAAAUCUAAAAGCACUCAAUUGUUGUUGUCUUUUAAAAAAUGGGGGUUUUAAAUGGCAAUUAGGCCAUUUAAAUGAUAGUGGGUGAAUAUGGACAACUUUAUCCUUAUGUUAUAUGAAAUAUAAAUUAUUUAAUAAAGGUUAAUAAGGUAAAUAAAUAAAAUACUAAUAUAUGUUAAUUAAAAACAAAGUAAAAAUUCAAUUGUUAUCAUCCAUGUUUAGCUGAAACUAGAGAAAACAAAUAAAAGAAAAACACAAGCAUAUAUUCGGCCAUAUUCAAGCUUGAUUAAGGUUCAUUUUAGCUCGAUUUUUGAUAAUUUUUACGUUUUUGAGAUCCUUGCUUUGAAUACUUCAAAACCCAUGCCUUAAUUUUGUGAAUUGUUAAUGAUUUUGAAAUGUGCCAUUGAUGAAUGCUUGAGCUUUGUGAUAGUUGAUGAUGAAAAAUGAAAGAUAUGUGAAAGAUUAACAUGUUUUGUCUUUGAAUUUUUGGUGAAAUUGAGUAAUUAGGGCUAAAUUGUGAAAUUAAAGUUUUGAGGGACAAAAAUGUGAAAUAAAUGAAAUGUGUGGACUUGCAUGAGCACUAGGUACAUUCGGCCCUUGUAUAGUGUGGACAAAUUUUGUGUAUUUUGUGUUUUAUGCAAUAGGGACUAAAUUGCAAAAAGUGUAAAUGUUAGGGGUAAAAUGGUAAUUUGCCCAUUUAUGUGUUUUUGGACUAAAUUGAAUGUGAUAAUAUUUAAACUAGCUCAUUUUGAAUAUAUUUAGAUCAAGAACCAAAGAAAUCGGAGUUGGACCGGGGAAAACCUAAAGUCGUCGACUAAUCGUCCAGUUUCGAUUUUACACUGUCCAAUGUAAGUCUAUUAGCAAUUAAAAGUUAUUAAUUUAAUAUUUAUACAUGUAUACUAAUUGCAUUUUGUGUUGUGCUAUAAUUAAAGGUAUAUUGAUUGAAUAAGUUUUGAAGUAUGGAUGAUAUUUAUAUAUAUAGCAUGUUUGAAUAUACAAGUAUAAUCUUGUAUAGUUUUAUGAGUUGAAAUAAAGGUAAGAAAUGUAUAUAAGUAUAGUUGAUAUUCGAAUAAGCAUGCAUAUAUAUAUAUAUAUGUAAAUUUCUUGUAUUGAAUUUAGGUAAGAAAGUUAUAUAUGCAUAUGUUAGAUUCAAAUAUAUAUGUAAAUACAUGAACAAGUCUUGAAUUUAGAUAAAGGUAUGAGUAUGUAUAUAUGUAUAUAUAUGUAUAUAAUGCUCGAAUAUAUAUACAUAUAUAUAUAAGUUCAUGGUAUGAAUGUUGUAUAUGUAUAAAUUCUUGAUUUUAAUCAAAUGUAUGUAUAACAUAUAUAUAUUAGGUUCGAAUAUAUAUAUAGAUAUGUACAUGUAUAAACUCUUGGAUUUGAUUAAAGAUAUGUAACUUAUGAUUGUAUAUGUAGUUUCGAAUAGGUAUGUAUAUAUGAGUUGUAAUUUAUAUGUAUAUGCUAUAUUCGAAUGAGCAUGCUUACAUAUAUGUAUAUGUUCUUUUAUUGAAUUUAGGAAGGACAUUUAUAUAAGUUUAUAUGAGAUUCGAUUAUGCAGGUAUACAUGUAUGUGUUCUUGUAAUGAAUUAAGUAUGAAAUUUAUAUAUGUAUAUGAAAAAUUCGAUUAUGUAUAUAUAUUCAUGUAAAAGUUUUUGAAUGGAAUUGAAGGUAUGAAAUUAUUAGUUUGGAUCAUUAUAAGGUGAUUAAAUGUUUCAGACUUUACGUCUAGCAGGUCUGAUGCCGGUGAAAUAUUUCAGACUUUAUGUCUAGCAGGCUUAAUGCCGGUGAAACAAUUCGGACUAUAAGUCUAGCAGGCUAAAAGCUGGUGUAUUGAACAGGUUUUAAAACCUAGCAGGCUAAGUGCGGGUGAAUCUGUUUAUAUUAUGUGUUUAAAUAUGAUGGAUAUGCAUAUGAAUUAUGUCAUAUGUAUUUUAAGAACAUGUAUAUACAUUCGGUGAUAAUACUUGUUAGGCAUAUGUAUAUAUGCAUUCAGCUAUUUAUGUUUAAAGUGUAUAUACAUUCGGUGAUAAUAUUUGUUAUGUGUAUAAGCAUUCGGCUAUUCAUGUUUAAAGUGUAUAUACAUUUGAUGAUAAUAUUUGUUAAGCAUAUAUGUAUAUACACAUUCGGCUAUUCAUGUUUUAAAUUGUAUAUGCAUUCGGUUUUAAGUGUUGAUAAUUAUGUAUGCAUUUGACUAUAUGUAAAUGAUAUGUAAAUGUAUUUGGUUAUAAGAUUUUGAUGAGUAUUUAUAUAUACAAUUGGUUGUAUGCAUGUUGUUUAUAUAUAUAUGUACUCAUUGAUAUGAAUUCUAUGAGUUCAUAUAUUUGGUUAUAAAUAAGAUGAAUAUGAAUAGUAAUUAUUCAAAUGAUAACAUAUAUGGUAUAUUACGAAUUCAUUAAGUGUACCAGGAAAUUAUAUAAUUAUUUAUGUAUAUUUUAGUUAUGCUAUAGACUUACAAAUCUAUAAAAGCUUACUUUGUUUGUUUAUGUCUUUCUAUUUUUUUAGACUUAAAGAUCAAGCUUCAAGUUCGGGGAUUGUCAGCAAGAUCAUCACUCUAUCUACUGUCUUGGUAUUAAAAUGUUUAAAUUUUAACUUAUGGCAUGUACAAGCUAGAUAAUAUUUUGAAGGUUGUACUUCUAUAUAUAUUGUAUAUGAGAUUAAUAGCCAUACGAAAAUGGCUUAUUUUCUUAUGGUUCAUUUGUAUUGUAAUGUCUUUGUUUCGUUCAAAAUGGUCAAAAGAGAAUCUUAAAUUUUUGCAUGUUUAAUAUUAAAAAAAAAUUAAACUUUAAUGAAUGUUUGUUUUGAUUUGUGCUUUGAUUAGUAAUGCCUCUUAACCCUAAUUCGGCGACGGUUACACAGGAGAUAUCACACUAUCACAUGUUAUAAAAUGACAUGUAUAGCUAGACUCGUAUUUGCUACGUUAGUCCAAGAAUCGGCUAAACCGUAGCUUUAAUACCAACAAAUGUAACACCUUUAACCCAUAUCUUUAACCGAAAAAGGGUUAUGAAGUAUUACAAGAAUUUACAGAUCAAAUACAGUUAUUUCAUAUAAUUUAACAUUCAUAUAACAAGUCAAUCAUAUUCUAUCAUAUUGUCCCUUAUAUGAGCCCUCGAGGCCCAAAAUAUGCAUUAAAAACAAGUCGAGACUAAACCAGUUGCUCAGAGAAUUUUUCGCAAAAUUUUAAAUUUUUUCCUAGAUGCAGGGGAGACACGCCCGUCUGGUCAGGUCGUGUUGUUCACACGGACAAGAGACACGCCUGUGUCUCAGGCCGUGUUGGCAUUCGAAGUGGGGCACACGACAUUGUCCUAGCCCAUGUCUAUGCCUGUGUAACUCUCUGCUUUGGGUUACACGGCCAAGCCACACGCCCGUGUAAGCAAUUUAAUUUACAUUAAUUAGAUUCAGUGGUCACACGGCCAAGCCACACUCCUGUGUGGAUAAUUUUGAGCAUUAUGUUUCUCAAUUUUUAAGAUGCAGGGGACAUACAGCCAGACCACACGCCCAUGUGCUAGGUCGUGUGGACGAAAAUAGAUUAUUUUCAAUGCCACUUUUCUCACCCAAUUUGUCUUCCACCUACAUCAACACCUUAACACAUUCACAAGGCAAUACCAAUCAUUCCAAAUCAAGCUAAUACCAAGUGUAGUACAUGUUAUAACAUCCCAUAUGUCUAAGUAUUCAAUUUCCCUUAAAUAACCCAAUUCACAUACAUGCAUAUCUUACCAAUUAUACUAACUCAAACCAAUUACUUAUGAACCUAUAUAAUUCUCCAUCAUUUAACCAAUUCAAAGAUUCAUCAACCACAUUAUGUCCAUAUAUAAACACAUCAAAAUAUGACAUUCACAAGUCAUUUCAAUAGCUAAUUACAAACAAACAUUUACAUUGUCAUCAUUGGUCAUAUUUAGCCUAUACAUGUCAUUAUAACCAAAAUUAGUUUGCUAUAUAUAUACUGAAGAUUCCGAGGGAUAGUGUAAUGUAGCUCUGACCAGCUUCCAACCUUUACGAGCCUCCGAAUACUAUAAAAUAGAGGAAAUAAAACAGACUAAGCAUUUAAUGCUUAGUAAGUUCGUAUAACGGGAAAUUAACUUACCAUUCAUUUUCAUUAAAAUAAACAUGCAAAAUACAUCCAAGAAAUUUGGCUAAUAGCCUAAACACACAACUUCAUCAAACAUGUUAGUCACUUAUUUCACAUGAAUUUCAAGAAUCAUGUAUGAGCUCAUCAAAUAUCAAAUUUCCAUGUAUUUCGUGUAUAUACAAAUAGCGAUUUACUUUGAAUUAAUUUAUUUUUUUCAUAUUAGGAUUUUUCCCGUUGAAUCAUUUAAAAUAUCGAUGGAUACCCGGGUAAUAUACACGAAGUGUACAAAAUCUGUACUCCGUCAAUUCAUAUUCAGAAAUGUUCAUACGAGCACAUAAACGAGAAGCUCUUUCGAGCCAUAUAACAGGAAGCUCAUGUGAGCAAUGUAACGGGAAGCUUAAGAGAGCCAUUAUUGGGAAUCUCAUAUGAGCAAUUGUCGGGAAGGUUCAAGCGAACCAAUAUCGAGAAGCUCCGAAGAUCCAUUAACUAGAAGCUUAUGAAGAGCUAUAUAUCGAGACGCUCAUAUGAGCUGCGGUGCGUCCAUAACACAUGUAGGAUCACAACCAAAUCGGGAUGCAACAAAGAGCUAUUGACGGGAAGCUCGCAAUAACCAUAUAACGGGAAGCUCAUGAGAGCUAAUAACGGGAUGAUCUUUCGAGCUAUGGUGUGUCCGGAACACAUGCAAGACCACAACCAAUCGGAAACUCUGUAUCCAUCGAAUUUCAUUUAUUCAAACGAGACUUAAUACUUGUCAGAUAUAUUUGGAUGUGUGUUCAAUUUUCAUACUUGUCAAUUACACAAUUUAAUUCACAUACACAACAUUCAAUUCAAAAAUAUAAAUAUACAACUUAGUUACAUGAACUUACCUCGACAAUGUUCGUGCACACAAAAGUUCCUAAUCCGUUACUUUCUCUUUUCCUCGAUUUAAUACCGUAUUCAAUCUAUCCAGAUCUAUACGAAUGAAUUUAACAUUAAUUUAAUACAAUUUACAUUCAAUUCAAACCAAUUCACACUUUAGGUAAAAUUACCAUUUUACCCCUAUACUUUUAAUUAAUUUUGAUUUCGUCCCUAGGCUUGGAAAAAGAAAUUCAUGAAAUUUAAUCUUUAUCCCAAGACUAGAAAUUUUCAUAUAGAACAAUAGCAACCCAUGAAUUCCAUAAAAUUUAGAAUUUUCCAUGAAUUCAACAUCUUUUCAAUUUAAUCCCUAAAUCAUGAUUUCAUCAAAAUUCUUUAAGAAAAUACUUUUAAAUACCCAUCAACAUCUCAAAUUCAUCAUCUAAUAGCUAAAAUCAUAUGAACUCAUCAAUGGUAACUUCCAAGGUUUUCAAUAAAAUCAAAAACUAAGGUAAAGGUUAUUUGGACCUAAUUGUAACAAUAUAAAAAACAUAAAAAUUUCAAGAAACGGGUAAGAAUUGAACUUACAUGGAGCAAAAAUUGAAAAACCAGCCUAAACCCUCUUCAAUGUCUGCUUUUAGAACCAAAAAUGAUAAUGAAAUGUCUAGAAAUCUUUAAUUUUCCAUUUGUUAUAGUUUAAUUUGGCAAAAUUUACAAUUGAUUUUUAUUUUAUUAAUUUUCCAGGUUAUGCCCCCUCUUCCACCCAUUUUAGGCAUAUUUAUGCCUUAAGUCCUUCCCUAUUUACUAGUUAAGCUAUUUAAUCACUUAACUAUUAUAGUUAGCAAGUUUUACAUAUUUUUCAAUUUAAUCAUUUUUAACUAAUUAGACAUGUAAUCGGUAAAUUUUCUUAACGAAAUUUUCAUUCGAAAUUUCUAUUAUACCAUAGACCACAAAAUAAUAUUAAAAUAAAUUUUCUUUCGACCUUAGAUUUGUGGUUCGGAAACCACUGUUCCGAUUUCACUGAAAACGAGUUGUUACAAUAUGCCUAUUUUAUAUAUAUAUUUUUAUAUUUUUAAUUUAUUAUAUAUUUUUAUGCUUCUUACAAUAUUUUAUAAUAUAUAUUUUAAAUUUUAUAUAAUUUUAAUAAAUUUUUAUUUUUAAAAAAUUCAUAUUUUUUAUAAUUUUUUAUAUUUUUCUCGUAAUUUAUAUUUUUAUAAUUUAUAUAAAAUCAUUUUUAAUAAUUUUUGCAAUUUUUUUAUCAUUUAUAUAAUUUUUUGUCAUUUAUAAUAAUUGUUAUAUUUUUAUUUUUCUUGCACUUCAAAUUAUUGUAUAGUUUUCAUAUUUUUUAUGAUUUAAAUAUAGAAUAAUUGUCAAAACCAUUUUUAUUUAAACGGGGUCGACUUUUAUUUAAAAACAAAAAUGGAGUCGCCACCAAUCUAUUUUUAUGAGGUGUGAUUGAGUCACCUGGAAAAGUAGUUGUUUUUAAUAAACGAUUUGAUCAUAUUAAAAAUAACGAUUUCGGUCCACAAAAUUCAGAAAAAUGGGUUCGGGAGUCGGUUACGUACGAGGAAGGAUUAGCACCCUCGUAAUGCCCAAAAUUGGUACCUAGUUGAUUAAUUAAUGUCUUAAUGUCGAAUAUUGAAAAUUUGAAGAGCCCGGGCUAAAUUGGCCUAUUAUAGCUGCCCCUCUUUGCUCAUUGUCGUGUAACGAAAAUGAAGCAAAGACUAAAGAAGGCCAAUUUUGCCCGGUCGUGUUGGACAUUGGUGCGCUUCUUCUUCAAGUAGCCUCUUCCUGACCCACUGUAGCUUCGGAGAGAUAAGGCUCACUUUCUUCAACCUACUCCAUUGCAACUUUAGGGAGAUAAGAUUGAUAUAUUCAACCGGCUCCACUGUAACUUCAGAGAGAUAAGGUUGGUUAUCUUCAGUCUUUAAUUGCUCCGUUGCAACGCCAUGGAAACAAGAUUGGCUACCUUAAGGUUUAAUCUGUUCUACUGUAACCUUAGAGAAAUAAGAUCUACCAUCUUUAGUCUGCCCCACUGCACCUUCAAGGGAUAAGACUUGCUUUCUUCAAUUUUAACGCCAGGGAGAUGAGAUUCGCUGCCUUCAGCUUUAAUCUGCUCUGCUACAACACCAGGGAAACCAGAUUUGCUACCUUUAGCCUUAAUCUGUUCCACUGUAAUGCAAAAGAGAUAGGAUUCGCUGCCCACAGCUUUAAUCCGCUCCACUUCAGCUAUUCCAAGUCUUAAUGUCAGGGAGAUAAGAUUCUCUGCCCUAUGCUCUAAUCUGCUCCGCUGCAACGCUAGGGAAACAAGAUUCGCUACCUUUAGCUUUAAUAUGUUCCACUAUAAUGCCAAAGAGAUAGGAUUCGCUGUCCGCAGCUUUAAUCCACUCAACCUCAGCUAUUCCAAGUCUUAACACCAGGGAGAUAAGAUUCGCUGCCCUCAGCUUUAGUCUGCUCCGCUGCAACGCCAGGGAAAGAAGAUUCACUACCUUUAGCUUUAAUCUAUUCCACUAUAAGGCUAAAUAGAUAGGAUUCGCUGCCCACAGCUUUAAUCCGCUCUACUCUAGCAUUAACUCAUUCUGCUGCAAUGCCAGGGAAACAAGACUUGCUACCCCUAGCUUUAAUCUGCUCCACUGCUGCGUCAGGGAAAAUUCGCUGUCUUCGAUCUGCUCCACUACUGCUCUGGGAGACAUGAUCUAAAAUCUUCAACCUACUCCACUGCUACUCAGGGAGAUAGGACUAGUUGCUUAAAUCUGCUUCCCUACUACCUUGGGAAGAUAAGAUUUGUCAUCUUCGAUCUGCUUCGCUGUCAGUACAGAAAAGCAAGAUCUGCUAUCUUCAGUCUGCUCCGCUAACAAUACAGGAAUAUAAGAUCUACUAUCUUUGAUCUACUUCGCUGCCAAUACAGUAAGACAAGAUUUGCUAUCUUCAAUCCACUUCACUGCAACUUUGGAGAGAUAGGAUUUGUGGUUUCACUGAUCUGUUCUCUGGGGAACAUGACCUGUAUAAUUCAUUUUAUGAACCUAAUUAUGCCUAGUGUCAUGAUCAGAAUGAAUCAAAUGCUCCUAACUAGACAUGUAUGAAUGAUGUUUGCAUGAAUUCAGAAUGCCAUUUUUUUAGAAUGAUCAUUCUUUUUCACUUAGGUUGUCAUUACUCAAAGUUUAUUAAGGUCUUAUCACUAACGUGCUAUAACGCCUUCUUGCUCGGCCAGCAUCCAGAAACUUAAUCAGAUUGCCCCACUAUAAACCUCAAAGUUUAUUAAGGUUUUAUUAGGGACUCAAAGCGCCCUUUGCGGGUUUUCACCUUGAUUCCCUCUCCUAUUAGGUAAAGUACCUCUUGACUGCAUCUGAGUUUACAGGGUUUGGCAAGUUUUUGCCAUCCAUCUCACUCAAGAUUAAAGCUCCUCCGGAAAAGGCCUUCUUUACAACAUAUGGGCCUUCCCAAUUUGGCAUCCAUUUCCCUCUAAAAUCCUUUUGUAUAGGAAUGAUCUUUUUCAAUACUAGGUCCCCCUCGUGGAAUUCUCUUGGACGAACCUUUUUGUUGUAGGCCCGCAUCAUUCACCUUUGAUACAUCUGCCCGUGUUGAAUAACUUUUAGCCUUUUUCCCUCUAUUAAAUUCAACUGAUCACAUCGUGAUUGGAUCCAUUCUGCUUCAUCCAACUCUUAGCUCAACUAAUACCCGAAGAGAAGGGAUUUCUACUUCAAUGGGUAAAAUUACCUCCAUACCACAAACCAAAGAAAAAUAUGCUGCCCUAGUGGAAGUCUUGAUAGAUGUUCGACAAGUAAGGAGGGAAAAUGAUAAUUUUUCAUGCCAGCCCUUGUAAGUCUCAGUCAUUUUUUCGCAAUCUUCUUAUUAUUUAUUCCUGGGCGAUACAGUGAUGAAUCGCGAUGUCUGAGUUUGAAUUGAUUAUAGACCUCAGCUAUCGUGAUAACACAUUUACCGAUACCAUCUUCUCUGGAAUUCUAUAACGGCAUAUGAUAACAUUGGCGUAUGAAGCAGCCUUUACCCGUUCGAUGAAGUAAAAAAUGAAGCAAUGCCCAUUAUAAGCCUUCGAUGAUGAUGACGUCCAGGCCCCGAUUUUGCUCAAAAUUUGAGUCGCCCUUUUCAGGUUUUCAACUCAAAUCCACCUUUGGUCACAAAGCGCCCUUUGCGGGUUUUCGCCUUGGCCUCUCCUUUUCCUUUUCUUUUUUUUUCAUUUUUCCAUCAUUUUCAUUUUCAUUUUCAUUUUCAUUUUUUUAUUUUUUAAUUUUUUUUUGAAACCCAUAGGAUUAGACAAGUCUUUGUUAUCCCUUUCGAUCAGAAUAAAUGCUUUUCUAAAUAAAAUCUUUUAUGCAAGAUCCUUCACAUCCACUUUAAUUUUGUAUGCGAAUGAUCUUAUUUGGUAUCAAACUUCUUUCAUAGAGCUUUCUGGGUGAGAUUUACUUUUGGAGCAUUUGACUAUGAAAAAAAACUUUGAAUCUUCCUUUUCAAUUAGGGUAAAAUUCAGUAAAGAAUGCGGAGAGAUGGCAACUUGACUUCAAUGGGCAAAGCUAUGAUAAAUCAAAGAGAAAAGCGUUGUCCCGGUAAAGAAUUUUCGCUGUAUCGUUCAUGAUGUUAAUCUUUAACAUACUACAAAUUUCUGAUAUCGUGCUGUUGUUCAAAUUACAAUAUCAGUAUUUAACCCGAGCAUAUCCUAUUAUGACCCUGCGAAGACAUCUUUAAACUCUUGAAGUAACUUAACAAUGUCUUGCUUCGCUUCUUCGGUUAUGCACGUUCCCUUAAGGUCACAAUCUCCAUUGUCUCCUCAGGAGGUAAAAUUUCAUUCUUGCUUUACCAUCCUCAACAAGUCCGAGGAUAGGCUACAAUCUAUGUCAUUUUCAAAGUCAUGAGAUCCCUCUAAACACAUGCCUCACUCAAAAGGAAAUUCUGAGUCUGUAGCAGCGUCACUCAUGUCAUUGAUAUCUGGGGACCUAUAGUAAGUAUCAGAGAAUAUACAAAAGGAUGUAUGAAUUUAUGAAUAAUUAUUUGUACAAUAUGAUUAAGAAGGAAUAAAAGAAUGAUAUGGAAGAAAAUCCAAGAGAAUGAAAGAAUAAUUAUUCGAAAAGAAUAAAAGAAUAUUGGCUCAAAAAUAAAUGCAAAGAUGUAUUUUAUUAGAACAACGACGUUCAGACAUGAGCCUGUUUCACAAAGGAAUUCCUAUCAUUUUUAGGCUAAAAACAACAAGAAUUGUUCUGAACAUUACUCUGAAUAAGCUCUAAAGACUACAUGGAUUUCUUCCGCAGUCUAAUUAUUUAGCUCGCUCUCAGGUUCGUAAGGGCAGAUUUCUAACAAAGUCCCUCUUUUAGCCUUGUCUUCAUAUACGGUGUUGAUGUAAACGCUUCCUAAAACUUCUUCAUACAUCGUAUUCACCCCAUUAUCAAUGUGAUUGGGUAGCGAAUUUUCUGCACUGGAGACCUCAUCGAACUUGACAAUGCCUAUAUUAAUGAGUCUUUCAACUAUCUUUUUGAAUGCGGUGCAAUUUUCUAUCGAGUGCCCCGUAAUUCCUGCAUGGUAUUCACACUGAGCAUUUGCGUUAUACGAUUUAGGAAAUGGAGGCAACAUUGGUUUCAAGUAGAAAGGGGACACCAUAUGUGCAUUAAAUAGGCUUUGAUAUAGCUCGCUAUAUGACAUCGGUAUAGGCGUGAACUGAGGCCUUUCUGUAUUUGCCUUCAUGUAAGAUUCUCGCUUCAAAGGGCCCUGAUGGCUGGUGGUUUCUGUCUUUGGUCGGUCCACAGCGAUUGGUUUUGAGUGGCCCUUGUUAUAUUUUCCUGCAUUAUCCCCCUUAUUCCCCUUCCUCUUUGGGGCCUUUAUAGUAUCUGGGUACUCUACCCUCGCCUGUUUUAUUUCUGCUGGAUUAUCAAGAGCAAUAGGAUUGGCUAGAUUGUUCCUCAGAUUGGAUCUUGAGCCUAUCGGGCGAUUCAUUGGUGUUAAGGUACCGGUCUGAUAUUGUUGGGAUUUGAUAGUAAGGGGUGCCCCUUGUGGACGCAUAUCUGGUUGGACAUUUAUCGGGGUAAAACCUGAGGGAUAAACAGGGUCUUCAUUAUCCUCUCCAAAGUGGACCACUGGGCUUUGCUCUCUUUCUAACCCUCUAGCCAAUAACUAGGUUAACUGGUUUAUCACAUUUCUUUGGAAUUCUAACAUCUGAUCUUUCAUAUCUUGUUAAAAUUUGGUCAAUUGCUCUAGCAUCUUUAUUUGUAUCUGCUCUAAUCUCUCCAACCUUUGGUCCAUUCCCUUAGUCUUUGCUUGGGUAUUGUAAGGGUGUUGGCUUUCCAGAUUAACUGAAAUAACUUUAAUCAAUUAGACUCUUUUAAUGGAUUUUAAUGCAUAUGAAGAAAUUAAGUGCAAAUGUAUGAAAUGAAUGCAAAAAGAGACGUUGAUUCUGGUUCAAUUUUUUACUAAAAUAACUUUACUAGAAAACAGAUCUCUUUACAUAAAGCGGAUACAUAUACGACUUCGCCCUCGAUCAUCUGGAUAUUAAGAUGCAUCUCGCGAAUUUUUCAAUAGACAUCUACUAGCUCCUUUUGCUUGAUCCAGGUCGCAACUCGUUGCUCACUCAUGCUCCUGAUCUUCUUUAAAAAGGUUGGGAUGUUUGACAACUCUUGAAGAAUCUUUGCUAACUUGAAUCUUCAGGCAACGCAGCAAGGUCGUAUACUCCUCUUGUUACACUUCUCGCAUCACGUUUUCUUGGACUAUAUUUGGACAACCGUAUUGACUUCCACUUUAUCAAGAAAUCCAUUUUCCAUGACAAGCUCUCUAUUUAGCAACUAAACAUGAAUCAACACCUCUUUUCUAUGAUGAAAUGCCAUGCAGUCAAAAUGUCAUGCAGCCAAAACAAACACAAGUUAGUAUCAGGUAUAAACGUAGAAUCCAAUGCAAUCAAGAAAUAAUAAAACACCUAUUCGGGUAUCUACUAGGGUUCAGUGUAGUUCUACCUAGGGUGAGUUUCUAAGGUUCACUAUAUGAGGUUUGGCUUCUAGAGCAAAGGUACCCAAACCAGCAGAUUCCUCAAUCCUCACCCAUUAUAGGCUCAUAUGGACCGAGUUCAGUUCAGGGGAAUACAUUUCCCUAUGGCUGCACGAGAUGGAAAUCUCAUGAAGACAUAGGUACAGAUGUAUCCCGAAAGCGGUCCACUAUCCUACACGGAGGUGAACACCUCACGAGGGACUAGUUUCUCGCUCCCACUUAGAGGGGUAAAAUUGACCAACCCACGCAAUGCAAAAUGCAAAUACACAUUAACAUAUUUGGACCAACCAAACAAACAUACCAUGAUCAAAAUCAUGGUAAUAAUGCAUAAGGGGGGAAUCGUGAUUUUAAAACAAAUUUUGAUUUCUCGAACGAAAGACAAAAAUUAAUCAAUUUACGACUCGACUCUCUAACAUCUCCCCAGUGGAGUCGCCAAGCUGUCGAAACCAUUUUUAUUUAAACGGGGUCGACUUUUAUUUAAAAACGGAAAUGGAGUCGCCACCAAUCUAUUUUUAUGAGGUGUGAUUGGGUCACCUGGAAAAGUAGUUGUUUUUAAUAAACGAUUUGAUCUUAUUAAAAAUAACAAUUUUGGUCCACAAAAUUCAGAAAAAUGGGUUCAGGAGUCGGUUACGUACGAGGAAGGAUUAGCACCCUCGUAACGCCCAAAAUUGGUACCUAGUUGAUUAAUUAAUGUCUUAAUGUCGAAUACUGAAAAUUUGAAGAGAUCAAAACAAUUCCCCUUUUAAAAUCCUUAUUGAAAUUUAUUAUUUUGAAAGCUAAAUAAAAUUUGGCCAUCUUACUUUAAUGAAGAAAUCGAAACCCCGUAGUUAGGGUACGAUUGUUUGAAGUUCCGAUGACAACUCACAAAGUUGUUUUUAUUAAAAAUCUCAUCUUGUGAUAACAAAACGUCGUAUCCAGUGAGUUAGGAUAUAACAUUUUGAAUUUUCGAGAAUAAGCUUUUAUUUGAAAUUUGUAUGAUUUUAUUGAAAAAGGGAUACUCGGCUAUUUUGAAUUUAACGAGAAAAUUGAAGCCCAGUAAGUUAAGGCAUAAUCUUCUCGAAAAUCUUAAAUAUCGAGUCUUGUUUUAUAAACUUUUGAAUAAAAUGUAAUGUGAUUAAAUGAUAACAUACGACGCAAAAGGAUAAUUUGUAAAUGAAUCAUACACUAACGAAUAACAAAUAAUUAAUAAACAAAUAUAAACAUGCAUGGCAACAAUAAUUUCAAUCAUACAUUAUAUAAAUACCAAUAUCAAUAUUUUAAAAUUAAAUGAAUUAAUAAUCAAUUUUAAAAGAUAUACUAAAGAAAUAAAUGGCAAAAGGAGAAAUUAUAACCAAUAAAUUAUACGUUCAAAAUUUUAAAAUAAACAAUAUAUAUGAGUUAAAACAAAUAAUAUAUAUGAAUGUACAAUUUAAUACAAAUAAUAUCUACAAUUUGAAAUGAAUUGGAUAAUUUACAAUAAAUAAUAUAUAAUAAAUUUGAAAUAAUAAUACAUAUAAAAUUUAAAAAAUUUUUUGAUGAUAAUUCUAUAAUCAUAUGUGAUAAAUCCAAAAUAAUAGUAUAUAAUAAAUUUAAAAAUAUUAAUGAUAAAUUUGAAAUAGAUAUACAUGAUAAAUUUAAAAUAAUGUUAACAAUGAAUUUAAAAUAAUAAUAUUGACAAAUUACAAAUAAUAAAACAUGAUAAAUCUAAAAUAAUAAUAUACAAUACACUUAGAUAAUAUUAAUGAUUAAUUUAAUAAUAGUAAGUAUAAACAUUCAAAUAAUAUCAGAUUCAAAAUUAAAAAAAAAACAUAAUAAUCAAUACUUAAACAAAUAAAACACAAGCAAAUUAAAUCAAACUAGUGAGGAUUAAAUUGAAUUUAAAACAGAAUUAAAAGGAAAAAAUGAGAAUAAAACCAAACUGAGGGCCAAAAUAUGGAAAAAAUAGAUAGUAUAAAAAAAGAAAUUGCAAUUGAUAAUAUAUGGAAAAAAAUUUAAAGCAAAUAAUCAAACAAUUUAAAAUGGAUGAUUUAUAAUACGAGUUUUUAAAAAAUAAACAACAUGUGUGACAUAAUAUUAAAAACAAAUAAAGUAUAUAAUUAAUGGAAAAAAAUAAAAGAAUAAUAAGAAUGGUUAAAUGAAUGAACAAUAUGUAAAUAAGAAAGUUGAUGGAUAAAUAAACAAAUAAAAGUAAAAGAAUAAUUAAUGAUUAAACAAUUAAAUAGAUAAAUAAAAAAGGUUAAAAAAACGCUUAAGUCAGCCUUACUCCCACAAUAUGAAGAUUUAACGAAAUUCCUCCACCAAAAUCCAACUCAAAUGAAAGCAACUUAAAAAGAAACGAAGAUGAACAAAAAAACAAAAUAAGAACAAGCCACAGAAAAUAAGAACGCAAGAGAAGGAGAAAUUUGAGUGAAUGCUCUUAAGAAUUAUUAUUACUCCAAACUCCAGUGUUUUACAAUGAAGGGAGAGGCCUCUAUUUAUAGUUGAGCCUCCCCAAAUCCAACGGUAUAGAUCAAUUACAUCAACGGCUAAGAUUUAAAGGGUAUCUACAAAUUAAAUCUUUAAGAUUACAAAAUCUUAUCUUCUAAGAUUGCAUAUUAUAUCUAAGAUUGCAUAUCAUUUUUCAAGUAAUGGAUCAUUCCAAUCGGGUCAAAUGAUACAAUUUUGGACUGGACUUGGAAUUUGUUUUAUUAUUUUGGGUUUAUUAUUUUUUUGUGAGCUCGGGCUAAAUUGGCCUAUUACAAUAAUGAUUAUCGCCACGUGACAAAAACGUCCAGAAGAAAACAAUUGUUGUUACUUUGUAACGUUUAACCUUUAAUUUUAAUGGUCAAAGAGCUUAAUUAAUUAUAAUUUUAAAGUUCAAGGGACCAAUGUUUUUUUUAACCUUUUAUCUAUAACAAAGGUUUCAACAAUUCAAAUAAUAUUUGAAAUUUUCAUGAAAUCUAAACUCAAAUUUAUAAAUCUACCUUAAAAUUCAAAUAUAUUUAUUAUUAGUAUAAAAUUUAAAUAUAAUUGGUCAAAUAAAAGUGCAAAUUAAUUGAAUUAAAACAAAAUAUCCAAAUUCACUAAAUAUCGAAUUUCAGUAUGUCCAAAAGAAAAUUAUAAAAUAAAAUAAAAUAGAUAAUAGAUUCCAAUAUCCAAACUCAUUAUUUUCAAAAGUGAAUUUGAAUUCAUUAUCCGCAAGAUGUAAACAAAUUUGAAUAUUGAAUAUUGGAGAGUUAAUAUAAUAUCCUAUCUGAAUAUGAUGCAAUCAAAUAUUAUGCACGAGAUUUUAAACAAGUUAGCCUUUGUUGUUAAUAAGUUCCUAGCCUGAUUGAUGCAAUCAUACCAAUUAGGGGUGUGCUUUUUUUAAGUUUAUCCGAAUUAACAGAUCAAACCAAAUUAGUUAAUUUAAUUGGUCGAUCACCGAAUCUAAUUUGAUCGAGAUCAAUUAAAGGGUUUUGAAAUUUUUAAUUAUCGGUUAAUUUGGUUCGAAACAGAAUGAUUAACUGAAUUAAAUGAUUAACUAAAAUUAUUAAUAAUUUAUAAGCCUAAUGUAUUAUAGAUAGAUCCAAUAUAUUAGAGAUAAGUCUAAUACAUUACAUAAGCCCAAUAUAUAAAAUUACUGGAUUUAUAAAUAUUUCUAUAAUGAGCUUAGAAAAACAUUAUAAAAACUAAAAAAUAUUUGAAAAAAGAAACUAAAAUUAAACAAAAUAACACAGAAUAAAAAAUUUUAAAAUUGAUGUUUUUAAUGUAAGGUUUGUUAUUAUGUUUUAAUUUAGUGUUAUUAUUGUGUUAUUUGUUGUUUUAAAUUUCAGUUAAACUUUUUUGAAUUAAAAAGAAAGAAAAAAUUGUCAUAGAUUUUUUUAUGUUUUAAAUUGUUUGAAAUAUAUAUAUAUAUUUAUAAAUUUUGGUUAAAUCAAUUAACCAUCGGUUAAUAAGAAUUUAUAAAUUUUGGUUAAUUAGAUUGGGGUAUUAUUCGAUUUCAUAAACAAAUCAUAGCAAGCAAAAUUUGACGUCAUCGAUAAUCGGGUUAAAUUUAGUAAAAGAAAAUUCACCCCCGAGGGCAGGGGGUCACUUUCCUGGGAUCCUCCUUCAACCAUAGCCGACAAGAAAACUUGUUUCCAUGGAGUAAGGGACCAUCCUCAAAUUCAUGAUAAUAAAAGGGACCAAUGUUCCCAUCCUCACCAACUGGUCCAAUGGCAGGGGCCCUCAUCAUUCACAUUCAACAUUAGCCAAAGACUACUGUUUCAUGGGUCCCUAUUCUUUACACUAAUAGUUGAGUUCCGUUUCCAAACAUCUAACGGCUCUAACGGAACAUGAUUUUGACGUACGCUUUUAGAAUCACAAACUCAAUGGCAAGGUUGAGGUCCUACAAGCUUUGAGGUACCAAGUUCGAUAAAGAGUAAAUGAAAUGGCAAAACGGAGUGCAAGAGUGUGCAAAAUACAAGGAUCUUUUCCAUUCAAUUCCACAUCAAACAGCAUAUUACAGAGAAAUUGAAAUGCUGCAAAUUUUCCAAGCACCUGUUUCUAUGCAUGAACCGAGUAGAAACAGAAGUGAGAUAUAAAAAUAUUUGCAUUUGUAAUUUCAUCUACUACUGUUGGACUUCCCAAAAUUUAAAACCUUAAAACUGUACCAUACUUGAAAGUUCUAACUAAAGCUUCAAACUCAAAGUCGAGGUCGAAGAACUAUGAAUCAAAGACGACGAUGGAAUACAUCGCCUUUGUCUACUACUCAUGGCAGGGCCUGGAGGGCAAGAUUUCAAUGAAGGAGGUAGAGGUUUAGAAGAAGGUACGAACUUACUUGGUUGGCUUCUUAACUUCUUCUCUACCGGUUGAAGCUUACCUUCUGAUCUAACUUGGCGAACUCUCGUCUCGUUCAACUCUGCUGGGAGAACACAGUUGCAAAGGAAACCUAUACAUUCAUCACAAGUACCAUCAUCAUCAAUAGUCUACAGAGAAAGAACCUAUAAAAUCCUACAAGAUGGUAAUAGGAGAACAGAUGAAAUUCAAACAGGAUGCGAGUAUAGUCCAUAUUUGAAAGAACCAUGUCCUCAUCACUGAAAUAGAGAUGUUGGAUGAACCUAAUGCAUUCACGUUAUCACAGUGAAUUCUAACCAACAUAAAAUUCCCAACAAGUUCCAGCUCUCUGAGCAAAGACAAGAUCAAGUACAGUACAUUUCAGGGUUAUCGUUUCAUACUUGACAAAACAUAUCAACGUGAAGACGUUGAAACUAGCAAGUGUUAUUAGUACGACCAAACAGAACAAACAUCGUUCAAGUUGUAAAAAACGUGAGAAACUAUGGCGACCAUGGCAGUCUUGGUACGAAUAUGCAAGAGAAUUAUUGGUUCCAACAGGCAGUGAAGAUGAUUUACAUGGCUGUCCUUUCAAAUUUGGUAGACCCACCAUGGCAUUCGACAAAGCUUGCACUGUAACAGGUUUGGUCAAAUGCCUCAGUGGGAAUGGUGGGUGGAAGCAGAUGCCUGAUGCCACUUCUUUCUUAUCUUCGAAAAGUUGUUUAAAGCAAAACAUAACUUAUCUUUCGUUUAUUGUUACUAUUAAUUUUCUUUUCUAUAUGCUACUUUACUUUAAAAUCAGAUAAUAAGCUAAACAGAGGAACUACAAAAAUGCCGCAAAACUUUCCUUUCAAUAUAUUUUCACAUACCGAUCUUCUGAAGAAACAAUGAGAUCAUGAAGUAAAGUUUAAGUUUAAAAGGAUAGAAGUGGAUUUCUUACCAAGUCUAGCAAGUCGAUUAACCCAGCUAGGAAUUGGUUUCCCUGUCAAUUGGAUACACACAUCAUUGCAGAAAUGAUUACAGUUCUUUGUGAUGAGAUGGUAAGUGUUCCCGGAGUAAUCUGUAGCGAGUUUCUCCAUAAACGAACGAACGUCUUUCGGACCUAAAUCGGUCCUUCCAAUUAAAAUAGAUUUCCUAAACGUGAAACCAGGACACUGCCUGGGCUCCACUUCGAAAAUUCCAGUCGCCGAAUGCUCAUGCGCUCCAAAACCAUAUUCAACUCCAUGAACUGCAUACAGCAAGAAUCAGCAUACUCAAAAUCAACUUGUACAAUAAUAUACAUGUAUACAUUUAUAUACAUACACACUAAAAUCAUGGAUGUAUAUUCUUAUUCCUUAUAUACAUAAAAAAUCAAUCUUUCAAGGGAAUUAACUUGACUAGUGUUAUUAAACCGUAAAAACAUUCAACAACAACCUUAAUUUGCAUAGAAAAAUUUUCAAAAAUUUCCCUUCAAUUUCCAGUCUUGUUGAUUACUAAAAAAAAAUUCCAUUACUUUUCCAGCAACACCCCAAAAAAGAAAACAAAAACUUGACUAAAUUCAAAGGAAAAUAAGAAAACAAACCUUGAACCCCAGAAUGAUAGAUCCCAAGGCCAAACCAAUAAGCAUAACCAUUAAUCGGAGUCAAGUCAUAUACAUUCAAAUAAACCGGAACCGAUCCAACUUUCUUCUUCCGGGGCAUCAACACCAUUGUGCACAGCAUUUUUUAGGCUAACUUUAAUAAAUAAAUAAAAAGAAGCCAGAUUUUUUUAC